This 253-nucleotide ribosomal RNA is filed under the name uncultured bacterium. RNAcentral's name for it is "partial 16S ribosomal RNA". It matches the Rfam family "Bacterial small subunit ribosomal RNA", at positions 524 to 776 of the family's 1533-position model. The record is from RNAcentral.
UACGGGGGGGGUAAGCGUUGUUCGGAAUUACUGGGCGUAAAGGGCUCGUAGGCGGCCAACUAAGUCAGACGUGAAAUCCCUCAGCUUAACUGGGGAACUGCGUCUGAUACUGGAUGGCUUGGAUUCGGGAGAGGAAUGCGGAAUUCCAGGUGUAGCGGUGAAAUGCGUAGAUAUCAGGAGGAACACCAAUUGCGAAGGCAGCUCGCUGGGACGUUACUGACGCUGAGACGCGAAAGCGUGGGGAGCAAACAGG